GACGAACGCUGGCGGCGUGCCUAAUACAUGCAAGUCGAACGCUUCUUUCCUCCCGAGUGCUUGCACUCAAUUGGAAAGAGGAGUGGCGGACGGGUGAGUAACACGUGGGUAACCUACCCAUCAGAGGGGGAUAACACUUGGAAACAGGUGCUAAUACCGCAUAACAGUUUAUGCCGCAUGGCAUAAGAGUGAAAGGCGCUUUCGGGUGUCGUUGAUGGAUGGACCCGCGGUGCAUUAGCUAGUUGGUGAGGUAACGGCUCACCAAGGCCACGAUGCAUAGCCGACCUGAGAGGGUGAUCGGCCACACUGGGACUGAGACACGGCCCAGACUCCUACGGGAGGCAGCAGUAGGGAAUCUUCGGCAAUGGACGAAAGUCUGACCGAGCAACGCCGCGUGAGUGAAGAAGGUUUUCGGAGCGUAAAACUCUGUUGUUAGAGAAGAACAAGGACGUUAGUAACUGAACGUCCCCUGACGGUAUCUAACCAGAAAGCCACGGCUAACUACGUG
Molecule: ribosomal RNA, 508 nt
Filed under: uncultured bacterium
Lineage: Bacteria
Description: partial 16S ribosomal RNA
Rfam family: Bacterial small subunit ribosomal RNA
Source: RNAcentral